UACGUAGGGUGCAAGCGUUGUCCGGAAUUAUUGGGCGUAAAGAGCUCGUAGGCGGUUUGUCGCGUCUGCUGUGAAAACCCGAGGCUCAACCUCGGGCCUGCAGUGGGUACGGGCAGACUAGAGUGCGGUAGGGGAGAUUGGAAUUCCUGGUGUAGCAGUGAAAUGCGUAGAUAUCAGGAGGAACACCGAUGGCGAAGGCAGGUCUCUGGGCUGACACUGACGCUCAUGCACGAAAGCGUGGGGAGCAAACAGG
This 253-nucleotide ribosomal RNA is filed under the name uncultured bacterium. RNAcentral's name for it is "partial 16S ribosomal RNA". It matches the Rfam family "Bacterial small subunit ribosomal RNA", at positions 524 to 776 of the family's 1533-position model. The record is from RNAcentral.